GAUGAACGCUGGCGGCGUGCUUAACACAUGCAAGUCGAACGAUGAAGCCCAGCUUGCUGGGUGGAUUAGUGGCGAACGGGUGAGUAACACGUGAGUAACCUGCCCUUAACUCUGGGAUAAGCCUGGGAAACUGGGUCUAAUACCGGAUAGGAGCGUCCACCGCAUGGUGGGUGUUGGAAAGAUUUAUCGGUUUUGGAUGGACUCGCGGCCUAUCAGCUUGUUGGUGAGGUAAUGGCUCACCAAGGCGACGACGGGUAGCCGGCCUGAGAGGGUGACCGGCCACACUGGGACUGAGACACGGCCCAG
RNAcentral lists this ribosomal RNA (306 nucleotides) under uncultured bacterium. RNAcentral's name for it is "bacterial SSU rRNA". It matches the Rfam family "Bacterial small subunit ribosomal RNA", at positions 28 to 334 of the family's 1533-position model. RNAcentral also lists the same sequence under 1 other name. The record is from RNAcentral.